This 91-nucleotide transfer RNA is filed under the name Streptomyces griseoaurantiacus. RNAcentral's name for it is "tRNA-Ile". The record is from RNAcentral. RNAcentral also lists the same sequence under 1 other name. Lineage: Bacteria; Bacillati; Actinomycetota; Actinomycetes; Kitasatosporales; Streptomycetaceae.
GCGGUCGAGGAAGUGGCCGCGCUCCACGGCCUGAUGAGCCGUCUGGAGUACCUGCCCUCCUCCCCCACCCUGUUCAAUUCCGGCACCCGUC